UCCCCUUUUUUCCCUUUAACCUUAAACUUUCUUCUCCCUCAACUCUCUGUCUCUUGGCCUCCCUUGCCUCCUACCCCACCCCAAUGGCCCCCUCUGCACCGAACCCACACCGGUGACUGACCUAGCCCCUGUGGUGGUUAAUUCCUCAUUCUCCCAUCGUUUAGGGGCUGCCCGUGUUGUGACAAUGGCAGCACCGAGGAAUGUGUUGAGGGACAAAGGCAGUGUUGCUGUGGCAUUGCUGCUUUGGGGGUUUUCUUGAUCUUUUCUACUUGUUUGUUAUGCACCUACCUGUUUCUGUUUGUUUUUUUCUUUAUUAAAUUCUUUUGGGUUAUUUUUUAUGCUUGGAGUUUUGAGAUAAGCUUGUAUUUGUGUUAAAUCUUUAUGGGUUUGAUGAAUAUUGUAUGUGCAAUAUUUAAUUGCCUUCUAGUGCUUAUCUUUGCACUUUGUAUGUGUAAUAGUGUUUCCUCUUUGAAAUC
Theobroma cacao (cacao) is the source of this 476-nucleotide long non-coding RNA. RefSeq lists it as uncharacterized. The record is from RefSeq and is a predicted model, not a curated record. NCBI's taxonomy places the organism in Eukaryota, Viridiplantae, Streptophyta, Magnoliopsida, Malvales, Malvaceae.